This 658-nucleotide ribosomal RNA is filed under the name uncultured bacterium. RNAcentral's name for it is "bacterial SSU rRNA". It matches the Rfam family "Bacterial small subunit ribosomal RNA", at positions 62 to 717 of the family's 1533-position model. The record is from RNAcentral.
UCGAACGGAACUGUUUUGAAAGAUUUCUUCGGAAUGAAUUUGAUUUAGUUCAGUGGCGGACGGGUGAGUAACGCGUGAGUAACCUGCCUUCAAGAGGGGGAUAACAUUCUGAAAAGAAUGCUAAUACCGCAUGACAUAUCGGAAUCACAUGGUUUUGAUAUCAAAGAUUUUAUCGCUUGAAGAUGGACUCGCGUCCGAUUAGUUAGUUGGUGAGGUAACGGCUCACCAAGACCGCGAUCGGUAGCCGGACUGAGAGGUUGAACGGCCACAUUGGGACUGAGACACGGCCCAGACUCCUACGGGAGGCAGCAGUGGGGGAUAUUGCGCAAUGGGGGCAACCCUGACGCAGCAACGCCGCGUGAAGGAUGAAGGUUUUCGGAUUGUAAACUUCUUUUAUUAAGGACGAAACUUGACGGUACUUAAUGAAUAAGCUCCGGCUAACUACGUGCCAGCAGCCGCGGUAAUACGUAGGGAGCAAGCGUUGUCCGGAUUUACUGGGUGUAAAGGGUGCGUAGGCGGCUUUGCAAGUCAGAUGUGAAAUCUAUGGGCUCAACCCAUAAACUGCAUUUGAAACUGUAGAGCUUGAGUGAAGUAGAGGCAGGCGGAAUUCCCCGUGUAGCGGUGAAAUGCGUAGAGAUGGGGAGGAACACCAGUGGCG